AAAACGACUCUCGGCAACGGAUAUCUCGGCUCUCGCAUCGAUGAAGAACGUAGCGAAAUGCGAUACUUGGUGUGAAUUGCAGAAUCCCGCGAACCAUCGAGUCUUUGAACGCAAGUUGCGCCCGAAGCCAUUAGGCCUAGGGCACGUCUGCCUGGGCGUCACGC
This 164-nucleotide ribosomal RNA is filed under the name Coffea mcphersonii. Its description in RNAcentral is "5.8S ribosomal RNA". It matches the Rfam family "5.8S ribosomal RNA". From Rfam's summary of the family: 5.8S ribosomal RNA (5.8S rRNA) is a component of the large subunit of the eukaryotic ribosome. It is transcribed by RNA polymerase I as part of the 45S precursor that also contains 18S and 28S rRNA. Lineage: Eukaryota; Viridiplantae; Streptophyta; Magnoliopsida; Gentianales; Rubiaceae. The record is from RNAcentral. RNAcentral also lists the same sequence under 2 other names.